GAUGAACGCUAGCGAUAGGCUUAACACAUGCAAGUCGAGGGGCAGCAUGGUCUUAGCUUGCUAAGGCUGAUGGCGACCGGGGCACGGGUGCGUAACGCGUAUGCAACUUGCCUCACAGAGGGGGAUAACCCGUCGAAAGACGGACUAAUACCGCGUACACUCUAUGUUGGGCAUCCAAUGUAGAGGAAAUGAAAUUCGCUGUGAGAUAGGCAUGCGUCCCAUUAGCUAGUUGGUGAGGUAACGGCUCACCAAGGCGACGAUGGGUAGGGGAACUGAGAGGUUGAACCCCCACACUGGUACUGAGACACGGACCAGACUCCUACGGGAGGCAGCAGUGAGGAAUAUUGAUCAAUGGGCGAGAGCCUGAACCAGCCAAGUCGCGUGAAGGAUGACUGUCUUAUGGAUUGUAAACUUCUUUUAUACGGGAAUAACAAGAGUCACGUGUGGCUCCCUGCAUGUACCGUAUGAAUAAGCAUCGGCUAACUCCGUG
This 490-nucleotide ribosomal RNA is filed under the name uncultured bacterium. RNAcentral describes it as "partial 16S ribosomal RNA". It matches the Rfam family "Bacterial small subunit ribosomal RNA", at positions 28 to 507 of the family's 1533-position model. The record is from RNAcentral.